Molecule: long non-coding RNA, 9978 nt
Filed under: Gossypium barbadense (sea-island cotton)
Lineage: Eukaryota; Viridiplantae; Streptophyta; Magnoliopsida; Malvales; Malvaceae
Description: long non-coding RNA (GBAR_LNC021744)
Rfam family: MIR7504 microRNA precursor family (bases 7297-7419)
Source: RNAcentral
UUUUUUUUUUUAGGUUUAAUGCAAAUGGAGAUUUUUUGGAGAGAAGAAAUGGAUAUAAAUGGAGAAUAUUAAAGACUUACUUUUCAACUAUGUGUUAAUUUCAAGAAUUAUAUAAUGUUUUUAAUUAUGUAGUGGUUCAAAGACUUAUGUAAUAUUUUUAAUUAUGUAGUGAUUCAAUUCGAGUAAUUCAGGUAAUUCGGGUAAUUCGGGUAAUUCGGUUAAUUUCGAUUAAUUUUUAACCAAAAAUAAAAACCAUACAAUUUUUGGUUAAUUCGGUUAACCGACCUAAUUAACCGAAAAAAUUUCGGUUCGGUUAAUUUUUUAAAAAAAAUUCGGUUCAGUUAACGGUUAAAAAUUUUGGAAGGUUGAUUAAUUCGGUUAUAACUAUUUCAGGUCGGUUAACCGAAUGCACACCUCUAAGCAUGAUAUUAAUGAGAAUUUUUAUAUUUAAAUUUCUAGAAAAAAAAUAGUUAAAACUGAUAUAUAGGGAGGGAUAUCAACAAGCGAUUAUAAUCAAGACUUUCUAAAUUUGUAAAGGAGAAGUCACGAGCUAAAAUACUAUCGCGGCAAAACGAUGCGUUUUGGGGGAACUGAUUAAUGAAAUGAUGCGCAGAAGGAGUUAUUUAAGCGGAGUGUUUUGGUUUAAUUCAUGUUGUUUAGUUUACCAUUUAUUUUAACCAACUUUUAAAGCUUUAUUUUCUUUUUGUUUCCUUUCCUAUAAAUAUAGUGUAAAUGACCAAAGGCAAUUAUUAAAAAUUGAAUACCAACAAUUCAAAAUAAAAAUAAUAAAAUAAUAAGAGCUACUAAAUAAAAUAUUGGGUCAUAUAUAAUAAAAAUUAAACCUAAAACUCAAACCCAAUAUGAUUUAAACUCGAACUAAAAGCUCGAAACUCAUAAUUUCCGUAAUAAUCCCGUCCAGAAAUUAUGCUCGUGCAUUCAUCACUAAAACGGUCAUAACUUCAGUUCUCGAACUCUAAAUCGACUGAUUCAAACUGCAUUUAAAAGCAAAGACAUAGGUCUUCAAACACUAUGCAGGCAUAUUAAUCCAAAAAUGUCUGGACCCCAUCCAAAAAUUUGUCGCAAGUUGACUAAUCUUUUUAAGUUGACAAUUGAUAGCUUGGUUCAAUUGACUUUAAUACAUGUCACCCAUUCCGUGCAUGUAUCAUUCCUCGUUUCCUCAAAAGAUUCAUCCACACAUACAAGCAUUGAUCGAAUCUUAGUUUGUUUUGUUUGACCUUUGACCUUGUUGUUAGGCCUUGAGGUACUGUAUGCCCAUUACAUCCAUGGCCCUAAAACUGGGCCUUGAAACUCUUAUCACAAUGUAAGAGAGCAUAUAAAAAGGGUGCACACCCUAACAAUACAAACGUGCGUAGGUGCAUCCACUGAAUCGCUAGAGAACACUCAAUUAUUUUUUUUAAUUUUGAGCGAUUCUUCAUAUCUCAAUAAAGGGAAUCCAUUAUGGUAUGCUUUGAAAUUGGGAUUUAGAAAAUCAUAGGCAUGUAGGAUGGUAUAGAUUAUAAAUGAGGAAUGUUUUUGGUUUUAUGUGAAACAUAAACAAGUGGAAUAAGAUAUUUAUACGAUUUAGUGUUAGGGUUUCGUUAAGGGUUUGAAGAGGACCUCAACACCCAUGGGUGGUGAGGUCAAUUUAAAUUUCAAAGGUCCUCUUUUUUAAAAAAAAUCAAUUACAUUUUACAUUUUACGUUUUUUAAAUUUUACAUGGACCUCUACACAUGUCGAGGUGUGUUUAAAUAUAUCCACAACAAUUACAAAAUGCAUAAACGAUUACAAUUUAAAAUUUUAACAAAUUAUAAGGACAAAUCUAGCUACUCAUUCCAUAAUUGUUAGCCUAGUUCUAGGCAAGGCAAGAUAAAUAAUAGAACUCGACACCCACUAGUUAAAAAAACAUGUUUUUAAAAUUAACAUCUCCUUGUACAUAUUUUGAUAUUUUUGUUCUAUAUCCAAAUAAGAAAAAAAACCAUCUUUUGCCUUUAGUUAAGAAAGAAAGAAAUAUAAAAUUUCUACGAUGAUAUAUUGCCUAACAUGAUUUACUCUCUUUCUUUGGCAACUUCUAAAGUUUAGAAGGAAUAUUUACUUCACAAUAUUUUAAGAAGAGUAGGAUAUCAAUGAGAAUUUUUAUAUUCAAAUUUCUAGAAAAAAAAGUUAAAACAGAUAUUUAGGGAGGGAUAUCAACAAGUGAUUAUAAUCAAGACUUUCUAAAUUUGUAAAGGAGAAGUCACGAGCUAAAAUACUAUCGCGGCAAAACGAUGUGUUUUGGGGGAACUAACUAAUGAAAUGAUGCGCGGAAGGAGUUAUUUAAACAGAGUGUUUUGGUUUAAUUCAUGUUGUUUAGUUUACCGUUUAUUUUAACCAACUUUUGAAGCUCUAUUUCCUUUUUGUUUCCUUACCUAUAAAUAUAGUGUAAAUGACCAAAGGCAGUUAUGAAAAAUUGAAUACCAACAACUCAGAAUUCUAUCUCCUUUUUUCCAGAUUCUCUGUCUUUUUCCUUCGUCCUUUCUCUUCUCUAUUAACAAUCGUACCAAAAGUAUCAAAGCUCAGCAAUGGCCGAUGAUGGAGUGACAACAAGGCUACAAAACGACGUCAUCGUCCUCUAGUAGGAAAUGGGGAAGGUCCAAAAUGAACUCCCUCAACUGGAUUCUAUGUGGGAUGCCAAAAUAGAGGUUCGUUUUCAAAUGUUUAAGGAAGAGUUUCAGGUGGAAAUGCAUUACCUGUUUGAAAAAUACCUAGGUAACACAACCAUUUCUAACACUUCAACCACUACUCAAGCCAGGGGAAAUGGUGUCUUGGGAGGAACACCACCAGGUUUUCCUAUCAAAGACAGCUUGGCAGCCCUUCUAUAGAUUAUGGGAUAGUUGGACCCAAACCCACCAAGAACUGGGUUCCCUUAGGAGCAUAGCUAUAGGUUGGAGUGUCCUCAUUUCGAUGGCACUGAUUUUCGUUUUUGGUGGUUAAAGUUGGAGCAGUUCUUUGCUGCAGAGGGAGUACCUGAAGGUGACAAGGUUCAGACAGUGAUGCUCUACCUCGAAGGCCUUACCUUGUAUUGGCACCAUUUAUAUGCCUAAAAGCACUGUGGUCUCCCUUUUUUUGACUGGAUCUGCUAUGCUCACGGGCUGAGGGAAAGGUUUGGGACUAGAGUUUUUAAGGACACGUGGUUGAGUUGGUGACUCUGAAACAACUAGGAACAGUGGAGCACUAUCACAACCAGUUUGUAAGCCUUCUGAACUAACUAUAGUUAACCAAAUCUUAUGCCAUCAGCAUAUAUAUUAGUAAUCUUAAGACAGACAUAGGCAAGUAUCUGCAGUUGUUUAGGAAAGGAUUCCUAACUGGAACUCACCAAGUCACCAGGUUUAGCCCAAAUCAACCUACUAUUGUGUCCACCCGAUCACCUCUUUCUAUCCAGUUGAGCUCCUCUGUACAUCCAGUCCAGUAGGAUCUAUAGCAUCUAAAGCACCCUCCAAUGAGGUCAGUUCUGCACUUAUGGCAGAGGAAACAAAAGGGGCUUUGUUUCUAGUGUGGGGCCAAAUAUCAUGUUGGCCAUAAAUGUGUAAAGAGCCAGCUCUACCAAAUGUUGUUGGAUUCUCCUAGUAAAGAAGAUAUUGAAGAGUUUCAAGAAUGUUCAGAUAAGUUGGAGGAUCUUCCUGCUGAAGAAGCACCAAGUCCAAUGUUAUCAUUGCAUGCAAUAAAAGGAUCUUAAGGUCCCUAUACCAUGAGGUUUGUGGAAAAAUCAGGGUAGCUAAUGUUAUAUUUUUUGUGGAUUCAGGGAGUACACAAUUUUCUAGAUUCUAAGCUGGUGUCCAGGUUGUCCUUACUUGUGGGGCAACAGCAACAGAUGAAGGUCACUAUAGUUGAUAAGAGACAUUUAUUAACUGCUGAUAUGUGUAGAGAGAUAGAAUGAGAGGUUCAAGGGUCCAGAUUUAUUGUUAACUUCAUGGUUUUAUCCCUCAAGAGAUGUGAUAUGGUCCUUGGGAUACAAUGGUUACUCUCCCUUGGGUCCAUUAAUCGGAAAUUUCGCUCCAUGACCAUGCAGUUCACUUUCAAGGGAACCCCUUGUACUAUCAAGGGCAUCUUACCAAGCAACAUCGAAAUGCUAAGUUAGGGACAAUCAGCCAAGUUUUUUUCCAUAGUGGAAAGGGAAUUGGACCCAUGUGCACUAGUUUUAACUAGUGUGGAGCAAGUGGCUCUCUCAACAGCCUCCACUCAGAUGGUAUUAGAGGAAUUGCAAAUACUUUUUAAUGAGUUCGAAGACAUUUUUCAAUCUGUUUCAGGGCUGCCCCCUGCACGACUACAAAACCAUGGGACUCCUCUCAAAGAUAAAGGGGUAGUGGUUAAAAUAAGACCAUACAUGUACCCUAUGAUUCAAAAAUUAGAACUGGAAAAGUUGGUUGGGGAAAUGUUUAAAGCUAGGAUAAUUAGGGACAGCUCUAGCCCUUUUACUUCUCCUGUGGUUAUGGUUAAGAAAAAAGAUAGAACAUGGAGGCUUUGUGUUGAUUACAAGCACCUUAACCAGCAAACAAUAAAAGACAGGUUCCCCAUUCCCAUCAUUGAAGAAUUGUUGGAUGAGCGCGGCCAAGCUCAAAUCUUUUCCAAGCUAGACUUGAAAUCUGGUUAUCACCAUAUUCGAAUGCAUGAAGCUGACAUUCCCAAGACAGCUUUUAAAAUGCAUGAGGGCUACUACGAGUUCUUGGUGAUGCCCUUUGGGCUCACCAAUUCCCCUUUUACCUUUCAAGGGCUGAUGAACACCAUCUUUAGACCAUUGUUGAGGAGAAUAGUAUUGGUCUUCUUUGAUGAUAUUCUUGUUUACUCACCCACCUGGUUAGAAUAUUUGGGCCAUCUAAAGGAGGUUUUUGAGCUGUUGAGACAACACUUGCUUUUUUAUAAAAAAAGUAAAUGCUCAUUUGUAAUAGAUCAAGUAGAGUACUUCGGGCAUAUAAUCUCCAAGGGGACUAUCUCUAUGGACAAAACUAAGCUAGAAAGUGUAGCAGCUUGGGCUAUCCCUUCUUCCAUCAAGGAGUUGAGAGGCUUCUUAGGGCUCUUGGGUUACUAUAGAAGGUUCAUAAGAAAUUAUGGUGUUAUUGCAAGGCCACUUACCAAUUUUCUUAACAAAAAUGCUUAGGGGUAGUGUGAGCAGGCCACUGUUGCCUUUCAGCAAUUGAAGCAAGCUUUAUGCUCAGCAUCUGUCUUAGCUCUACCUGAUUUCAGCUUGGAGUUCUGUGUGGAUACGAAUACCUUAGGUUAUGGGGUGGGGGCAGUCCUUCAGCAACAAGGUAAGGUCGUGACAUACUUCAGCGAGGGACUGGGAAUAAGGCAUCAAGCCCUUUCCAUAUAUGAGAAAGAAUGUUGGUUGUGCUUCUAACUAUGAGGAAAUGGUAUUCUUAUCUAUGGGCAGACACUUUAAAAUUCGAACUAACCACCAAAGUUUAAGGUUUCUAGCUGAUCAAAUGGCAGUUACUCCUUUCCAGCAAAAGUGGGUAGCAAAGAUGCUUGGGUAUGACUAUGAAAUGAUCUAUAGAAAGGGGUCUGGUAACUUGGCUGCUGAUGCACUGUCAAGGAAUCAAGCACUGAAAAAAGGGUAAUAUUUGCAACUCACUAGAAGCACUAUCUGUUUCAAUUUAUUGGCUCGAGUGCAAGAAUCAUAUUUGGUGGACACUAAAGCUCAGAGGUUAUGUUUAGAGGUAUAACAGUAAGGUUCUAAACAUCCAAAAUACUCUUGGGAUAGUAGGUUCCUCAAAAAAAAAAGGGAAGACUAUGGUGGGAAAUGUUUCAGCUCUUUUGAUAGCACUCUAGGGGGACAUUCAGGGGUAAAUGCAACUAAGAAGAGACUGACAAGCCUUGUAUACUGGAAAAACCUUACCACUGAUGUCAAGAGAUGGGUAAGAGAAUGUUAGAUAUGACAAAAAUGCAAGUCAGAAACAGUAGGACCCCCGGGCCUUUUACAACCACUCCCAAUUCCAGAAAGAGCUUGGUCCUCCAUCUCCAUGAACUUCAUCGAGGGCCUUCCAAACUCUGAAGGUAAGAAUGUCAUCUUUGUGGUGGUUGACCGCUUCACUAAGUAUGCUCAUUUUGUAGCCAUGGCAGACCCCUUCACUGCUAUAGUUGUGGCUCAAGAGUUCAUGGGUAAUGUGUAUAGGCUGCAUAGGAUGCCAGAUUCUCUAAUUUCUAAUAGAGGUAAGGUCUUUGUCAGUACCUUUUGGCAAGAUCUCUUAAAGAGGAUGGGUACCAAGGUUUAACUAUCCAAAGCAUAUCACCCAGAGACAAAUGGGAAAAUUGAAGUAGUGAACAAGUGUCUUGAGGGAUACUUGAGGUGUAUGACAAGAGAGAGGCCACAAGACUCGCAAAAGUGGCUUCUUUUGUCUGAGUGGUGGUACAACACCACCUUCUAUUCAACUAUCUAAGUCACCCCAUAUGAAGCAUUAUACGGGCAAACCCCUCCCUUACAUAUGCCUUACCUAGCUGGAGCAUCCAUGGUAGCUAUUGUGGACAGAAAACUAAAACAAAGAGAGGCUACAAGAAGAUUGCUACAAUUUCAUUUGAAAAUAUCCCAAGAUAGGAUGAAGCAGCAAGCAGAUAAGCACAGAACUUAAAGACACUUCGACGUUACUUAAAGCUCCAACUUUAUAGGCAACACACAGUGAGAAGGAUCUUGAAUCAGAAACUGGCACCUAAGUUUUUCUGGUCCUUUCGAGUAGAAAGUAAAGUUGAGAAAGUGGCCUAUAAAAUCCAGCUUCCCCAAGGGUCUCGUGUGCAUCCCACCUUCCACGUGUAACAGUUGAAAAAGCAUGUGGGUGCAGCUCUUGUUCAAGCACAACUGCCAGUGAUCGAUGAGUAAGCAACUGGGCAAAAAAACUUGCUAGGAUCUUAGAAAUGAGGAUAAUGAAUCAGGGAAAUGUUGUUGUCACCAAGGUCUUGGUAGAAUGGGCACACUCAUUUCCAAAAGAUGCCACAUGAGAGCCCUUGCUACAACUCAAGAAGAAAUUCCCACACAUUGAUCCUUGAGGUCGAGGAUCCUUCCAGCAAGGGGUAUUUGUCACGCGCUAAAAUACUACCACGGGAAAAUGAUACAUUUUGGGGGAACUGAUUAAAUAAACGAUCACAAAAUGAGUUAUUUAAACAGAGCGUUUUGGUUUAAUUAAUGUUGUUUAGUUUACCUUUUAUUUUAACCAACUUUUAAAGCUUUAUUUCCUUUUUCUUUCCUUUCCUAUAAAUAUGGUGUAAAUGACCAAAGACAGUUGAGAAAGCAUUGUAUAAAAUUAUGAUUCCACGUCAUCCUUAUCCCUUUCUAAUGGGAGGAUGACAAAUUAGAUUUUUCCUCGUGAGUUUUACCAUUUUUAGUUGGAUUUAAAUUUUUUUCAGGAGGAAAAAGCUGAAAAUUAGGAGGAAAAUCUGAUUUGUCAUCCUCCCAUUGGAAAGGGAUAAGAAUGACGUGGAAUCACAGUUUCAUACAAUCCCUUCUCAAGGUAGUUAUGAAAAAUUGAAUACCAACAAUUCAAAAUUCUCUCUCCUAUCUUCCAAAUUCUCUGUCUUUUUCCUUCAUCCUUUCUCUUCUUUGUUAACAAUCGUACCAAGAGAAUGAUACACAAUUAAGCAGAAUAGAAAUAUAUUUAGCAGAAUUUUCUGUUUGCCUAGUCUUUGAAAGGAAAACUGCCAUUGAUUUAUUGGAAGAUUACUCUCAAUUUUUUCUCCAAAUUUAGAAGAGAUAAAAUGAAUUAACAUCCACCCCCAAUUUGAAAAAUAUUGUUGGCUAUAAUUUGAAAGUUCGGCAGUUUUGUUUCACAAAACCGUUUCAAAAGAAUAAAAAUAUUGUUAGGAUUUUAAAUGUGACUAACACAAGCAUUGUGGAUUUUGAUUUUAUAGUUUUACCCCACAAAGGUUCAAGUCUAGAGAUAUAUUAUUGUGAAGCUUUUACCUUUUGAGUGUUGAUCAAAUUAGAAAAGCAUUUACCUAAAUUCGAGAUUGAAUACCAAGCAGAGUCUAAACAUGUGAAGCAGGAGAAUAAAACAGCAACACAUGCAACCUUUUAGAUUUACAUAAAGAUACAGGGAAAAAGGAACUGUUUAAAAAACUACGUACAUAUUGAACCGAUAAUAGAUUUCUUAACUUACACUGGGCCUAUAAUAAUGCAACCAAACAUAAACUUGGUGGUCUCCGAUGGCCAUUGCUAGGAAAAAUGGAACCAGCAAGACCAAUCCCGUAAGGAGAUACCUCUCUCUUACGCAUUCACAUAACACAUCCUAAACUCACGACACCUAAUUAAAACUAUGUAGCAGCUCUACAAAUGUAAAAAAAUUCAUUGCGGAGGCUACUUGAGAUGGACUAGGAAACCCUAAAUGACAAAAAGAGGCUUGGACCUAUGAAAAUACAAAGAAAAUUACAUGAUAGUAGCUGCAAUUUAAGACUCAAGACAGUUCCCUGAUGGCUUCCCAAUCAAUUUCCACUGAAGAGUACUUUUCCAAACUGAAGGCCUCAUCAUCAUCCCACUUUGAAUCAAAGAAAUCCAAGAAAGUGAUAUCAGAUUCUGGCUAAGAAGAUCCAGCCAAUGAUUCAUCGGAUAAAUCCGGAGUUGUUGAUGAUGAUACCAAUGGAUUCUCCACUUUAGGGUCAGAGAACCUUGGAGACUGAUCAAACUCCUCACUCUUUACACAGUAAUCAAACUCCACCUUAGGUUUUGAAUUAAAAACAGAAGAGGUCUUUGCUGAAUUCUCUUGGUUCUACAAGCUCUGACAAACGGCCUGGAGCUUUGCACCAACAAAGGAAUAGAGAAGCUUGAAGCCACCAAAUUUCCCGGAAACAUGAGCUCCUUGAUGCUUGAGGUGGGGGAAGUUGAGCCUGGCAAAGUCUCCUCUAAGCAUGUAAGCAGCCUUGUCAUAAGCCAAAGCUGCUUCUUCAGCUGUAUCGAAAGUGCCAAGCCAAAGUCGGGUUCGGUUCUUGGGAAGUCUGAUUUCAGCAACUCAUUUGCCCCAAUUCCUCUGUCGCACUCCCCUGUAGAGUUUUGCAGGCUUUGGAGGAGUUGAGGAGACAUGUUUCAUAGGGACAGCCUUCGGGGAAAGAAAGUUGAGCCUCUGGUUUAGAUAUUGAAGGGAUGUUGUUGCAAUCAUAGAAUCAAGCUGCUGCUGUUGAUAAAUUUGAGCUUGAAAGCGCAAUUGAAGUUGAACCUGUAUGCUCAAAACCCAUCAGAUUGUUAUAGUUGAAGAACUCAUGGUUAGGAAACAAGUGGUUGCUCGAUGAUGGGGAGCAAAAUUCAGGAUCCAUGUAAGGCUGAGAAGGUGUCAGUUGAGAAUAUGAGCAAGAUGAAGAAGAAGAAGAAGAAGAAGAAGAUAAAGGAAAGGUAGAUGAAGAACUUUUCAUGAAAGGCUCAAGUGCUUUCAUUAACUCUUCCCUACAGGAAUCUCAGAAAACUGAGUUGCUGCUGCUAUUAUACAUAUCAAUAGCUGCUGCCAUAUCCAAAAACUAGUUAAAAGCAAAGCUGCUUCUUAAUCAAAACUAAAAGAAUAGGAAAUAGUUUCUGAUAAAAACCAAACUUGAGGGACCAAAAACAAACCCUCUUAGCUGAUGAAAAUAAAGCUUAAAAACUAUUUACUUAAUGAAAUAAAAUAAAAUAAAAAACUGAAACCUGGAUCUCAAUUCUGAAUCACCUUGCUUUUAAAAACCAACCUGGUAGCCUUGUUUAAGCUUUGUUUUUAACACAAAUUAUUUCAGCUUGAAAGACAGGCGAUGACAGAAAGGGAUUCAGAGAAGCGGUGAAUUGCAGAAAAUGAAGGGGAAUUAUAAACAUCAAACACUGUUGAAAAAUCUGAAAACUCUCAAUUUCUAUUUUGGGUGGCCUCACUUUCGAGUUUACUCCCUUGCAUUUCCAGGAUCACCUUAUCUCUUCUUAUAUAAAAUUCUCUGCUCUACUCUACCCCAUGUGCUUCCCUUACAAAUCGUAUAGAUUUUUAGCAAUUUUUAAUUAAUUUUCAAUAAUCA